CACGAAGUUAGCCGGGGCUUCUUCUGUAGGUACCGUCAUUAUCUUCCCUACUGAAAGAGCUUUACAACCCUAAGGCCUUCAUCACUCACGCGGCAUGGCUGGAUCAGGCUUGCGCCCAUUGUCCAAUAUUCCCCACUGCUGCCUCCCGUAGGAGUCUGGGCCGUGUCUCAGUCCCAGUGUGGCGGAUCAUCCUCUCAGACCAGCUAAAGAUCGUCGCCUUGGUAGGCCAUUACCCCACCAACUAGCUAAUCUUACGCGGGCUCAUCUAAUUCCGAUAAAUCUUUCCCCCGUAGGGCGUAUACGGUAUUAGCAGUCGUUUCCAACUGUUGUUCCGUAGAACUAGGUAGAUUCCCACGCGUUACUCACCCGUCUGCCACUCCCCUUGCGGGGCGUUCGACUUGCAUGUGUUAAGCCUGCCGCCAGCGUUCGUUCUGAGCCAGGAUCAAACUCU
RNAcentral lists this ribosomal RNA (451 nucleotides) under uncultured Devosia sp. Its description in RNAcentral is "partial 16S ribosomal RNA". The record is from RNAcentral. Lineage: Bacteria; Pseudomonadati; Pseudomonadota; Alphaproteobacteria; Hyphomicrobiales; Devosiaceae.